UUACUCUGACUUUAUGAAGUUAUUUUCCUAUGCGUGAAGAACAAAUUUAGCUGAAGCAUGACUCUUCAGCAUGGCAAGGACAAAGAUUCCCUCGUAGGGAAGGAGUUGCAGUCCUCCUAGUUCUUGGUAUUCCCAGAAAGGAUCCUGGGAUGAGUGAGAUGAUCAUUAGUGUUCGCAGAGGGAAUUCUGGCCAAUAUAAUUACAAGCAGUGAAAAUUAGGUGAGAUUCAUUCACUUCUGCUAUAUUAAGUAGUGAAUUAUGGCU
This 264-nucleotide long non-coding RNA is filed under the name Apteryx owenii (little spotted kiwi). RNAcentral describes it as "lncRNA (ENSAOWG00000002536.1)". The record is from RNAcentral. Lineage: Eukaryota; Metazoa; Chordata; Aves; Apterygiformes; Apterygidae.